This is a long non-coding RNA of Spinacia oleracea (spinach), 1498 nucleotides long. RefSeq lists it as uncharacterized. The record is from RefSeq and is a predicted model, not a curated record. The transcript is spliced from 3 exons. Lineage: Eukaryota; Viridiplantae; Streptophyta; Magnoliopsida; Caryophyllales; Amaranthaceae.
AUAAACUAAAAAGAACUUAAUAUCAUUAAUACUAAAUCACAACCGGAUAAAAAGGAGAAUCACCUGAUCAUAACAACUUUAAUCCACCAAAUAUCUCGGUAAUUAAAAAAAAAGAACUAUAAAAGAAAAAAUUGAUUAAUUACCCAAGAAAAUAAGGAAGUCAAAAGUUAUAACAAAUCAGGAAACCCAAGUAUAUGAGUAUAUCACGCAUGAGUAGGUAGUGUCAGCUGCAAAUCCUCCUAGAAUAUCUCCCAUUUUCCUUGAAAGAAGCAAUUACACAAUAUCCUCCUACAAUCUCUCUCAUUUCUGUCAAUUGCUCUGCAAAUUUUGAGUAUAAUUCGGACUAAUUUAGAGCUUUUCAAGGUGAUGACUAAAAGAGCUAGCCUGCAAAUUCCAUGGGCUUCUCAGUGUAAAACCCGAAGCCUAACUUUUUCCAUACCCAAAACAAUUGGGUUUACCGUUAAUGGAAGUUUCCAGAUGAAGCAGCCGAAAAUGGAGAGAAUGUUUAGAGAAAACAACACGAAUGAUGUGAUAUUGAUGUGUAUGCGAUGCAUAAAGGGAGGCGAUGGACAAUCAGGAGCAGAUAAGAGGCAAUUCUAAUUUCUUGCUUUUCUUUAUUUUGUUUGUUUUUUAGAUUCAUGGUUUCAAGUUUGCUUAUUUUUGGCUACUUUUGAUACUGUUACUAUAGGAGUAUCAAAUGUAUCAUAUUUAAAAGUUAAUUGUAUCAUAUUUUGAUACUGUUUUCCUUCUCAAGAAAUUUUCUAAUGUUAAUCAUAGUUAAUGGAAGUUUUUAUACGCACAUGGAUGUCAAUCAUUUUGUUUAUAGUCUAUUAUUAUCCAUCCCAGACCACUCAAUAAACUUAAGGGGUUAAAACCUAGGAGGAUUUGUUGUUCUAGAAGCAGGGGCAUAAAUAAGUGACAAAUUGCUCCAAUUACGUUGGAUCUCCAUGACGGAGAUAUACUUCAGAGUUCAGAGCUCCUGCUGCAUGAGUCUAGAAGGAAGCUAGAACUACUUGAUCUCGAUUCUUGAAAGACAGUCAGGAAUAUAGUUUUUCUCAGUAUAAUUCCGUAACUACUAUUCUUUUGAAAAUAAUGUGUUUGAUGUUGUUUGUAUUAUGUUAAUUUGGGGUUUAUGAUGGUCUGAUUUGGUGAUUUUGUGAUGGGGGUUUGUUGUUUUGUGUGCAUGUUUAGAUGCAUUAUGAGGCUACAAAGUUUGCUUACCAAACAGGAGUUAAGGUGGCUGUAGCAUAUGGCGGCACACCCAUGGCUGAGUACACAACAGCAGGAGGAGAACUCAAAGGGGAAAAAGUUGUAGACCCAAGGAAUUUGCCGAGGAUGUCAUACUUACCUUUCAUAAUGCAAUGACAUAUAAUCCAGAAGGGCACGCAUCGCAUGUAUAAAAUACAAUUUAGUGGUUGUAGUACAAUUUUUAUCUAAUUUUUAUAUUUAGUGAUUGUAAUAUAAUUUUAAGUUUUUAUAUAAUAAAAUACUAGUAAUA